RNAcentral lists this ribosomal RNA (253 nucleotides) under uncultured bacterium. RNAcentral describes it as "partial 16S ribosomal RNA". It matches the Rfam family "Bacterial small subunit ribosomal RNA", at positions 524 to 776 of the family's 1533-position model. The record is from RNAcentral.
UACGUAGGGGGCUAGCGUUGUCCGGAUUUAUUGGGCGUAAAGAGCGCGUAGGCGGCCGAGUAAGUCCGACGUGAAAUCUGGAGGCUCAACCUCCAGCGGUCGUUGGAAACUACUCGGCUAGAGGCCGGAAGAGGAGAGUGGAAUUCCUGGUGUAGCGGUGAAAUGCGCAGAUAUCAGGAAGAACACCGAUGGCGAAAGCAGCUCUCUGGGACGGUACUGACGCUGAGGUGCGAAAGCGUGGGGAGCGAACAGG